CACGUAGGGUGCGAGCGUUGUCCGGAUUUAUUGGGCGUAAAGAGCGUGUAGGCGGCCUGGUAGGUCAGCUGUGAAAACUCGAGGCUCAACCUCGAGACGUCGGUUGAAACCACCUGGCUAGAGUCCGGAAGAGGAGAGUGGAAUUCCCGGUGUAGCGGUGAAAUGCGCAGAUAUCGGGAAGAACACCCGUGGCGAAGGCGGCUCUCUGGGACGGUACUGACGCUGAGACGCGAAAGCGUGGGGAGCGAACAGG
RNAcentral lists this ribosomal RNA (253 nucleotides) under uncultured bacterium. RNAcentral describes it as "partial 16S ribosomal RNA". It matches the Rfam family "Bacterial small subunit ribosomal RNA", at positions 524 to 776 of the family's 1533-position model. The record is from RNAcentral.